This 719-nucleotide ribosomal RNA is filed under the name uncultured bacterium. RNAcentral's name for it is "bacterial SSU rRNA". It matches the Rfam family "Bacterial small subunit ribosomal RNA", at positions 65 to 769 of the family's 1533-position model. The record is from RNAcentral.
CGCUGAAGGUUGGUACUUGUACCGACUGGAUGAGCAGCGCACUUGUGAGUAACGCGUGGGGAAUCUGCCUUUGAGCGGGGGAUAACAUUUGGAAACGAAUGCUAAUACCGCAUAAAAACUUUAAACACAAGUUUUAAGUUUGAAAGAUGCAAUUGCAUCACUCAAAGAUGAUCCCGCGUUGUAUUAGCUAGUUGGGGAGGGAAAGGCUCACCAAGGCGAUGAUACAUAGCCGACCUGAGAGGGUGAUCGGCCACAUUGGGACUGAGACACGGCCCAAACUCCUACGGGAGGCAGCAGUAGGGAAUCUUCGGCAAUGGACGAAAGUCUGACCGAGCAACGCCGCGUGAGUGAAGAAGGUUUUCGGAUCGUAAAACUCUGUUGGUAGAGAAGAACGUUGGUGAGAGUGGAAAGCUCAUCAAGUGACGGUAACUACCCAGAAAGGGACGGCUAACUACGUGCCAGCAGCCGCGGUAAUACGUAGGUCCCGAGCGUUGUCCGGAUUUAUUGGGCGUAAAGCGAGCGCAGGUGGUUUAUUAAGUCUGGUGUAAAAGGCAGUGGCUCAACCAUUGUAUGCAUUGGAAACUGGUAGACUUGAGUGCAGGAGAGGAGAGUGGAAUUCCAUGUGUAGCGGUGAAAUGCGUAGAUAUAUGGAGGAACACCGGUGGCGAAAGCGGCUCUCUGGCCUGUAACUGACACUGAGGCUCGAAAGCGUGGGGAGC